Molecule: ribosomal RNA, 274 nt
Filed under: uncultured bacterium
Lineage: Bacteria
Description: partial 16S ribosomal RNA
Rfam family: Bacterial small subunit ribosomal RNA
Source: RNAcentral
AUACGAGGGGUGCAAGCGUUAAUCGGAAUUACUGGGCGUAAAGCGUUCGUAGGCGGUUUGUUAAGCAAGAUGUGAAAGCCCUGGGCUCAACCUGGGAACUGCAUUUUGAACUGGCCAACUAGAAUACUGUAGAGGGUGGUGGAAUUUCCAGUGUAGCGGUGAAAUGCGUAGAGAUUGGAAGGAACAUCAGUGGCGAAGGCGGCCACCUGGACAGAUAUUGACGCUGAGGAACGAAAGCGUGGGGAGCGAACAGGAUUAGAAACCCGGGUAGUCC